This 274-nucleotide ribosomal RNA is filed under the name uncultured bacterium. RNAcentral describes it as "partial 16S ribosomal RNA". It matches the Rfam family "Bacterial small subunit ribosomal RNA", at positions 523 to 796 of the family's 1533-position model. The record is from RNAcentral.
AUACGAAGGGGGCUAGCGUUGUUCGGAAUUACUGGGCGUAAAGCGCGCGUAGGCGGAUUGGUCAGUUAGGGGUGAAAUCCCAGGGCUUAACCCUGGAACUGCCUCUAAUACUGCCAGUCUUGAGUUCGGGAGAGGUGAGUGGAAUUCCUGGUGUAGAGGUGAAAUUCGUAGAUAUUAGGAAGAACACCAGUGGCGAAGGCGGCUCACUGGCCCGAUACUGACGCUGAGGCGCGAAAGCGUGGGGAGCAAACAGGAUUAGAAACCCCAGUAGUCC